This 245-nucleotide ribosomal RNA is filed under the name uncultured bacterium. RNAcentral's name for it is "partial small subunit ribosomal RNA". It matches the Rfam family "Bacterial small subunit ribosomal RNA", at positions 26 to 285 of the family's 1533-position model. The record is from RNAcentral.
AGAAUCAACGCUGGCGGCGUGCCUAACACAUGCAAGUCGAACGAGAAAGUGGAGCAAUCCAUGAGUAAAGUGGCGCACGGGUGAGUAACACGUGACUAACCUACCCUUGAGUGGGGAAUAACUUCGGGAAACCGAGGCUAAUACCGCAUAACACCUACUGGUCAAAGGAGCAAUUCGCUUAAGGAGGGGGUCGCGGCAGAUUAGUUAGUUGGCGGGGUAAUGGCCCACCAAGACAGUGAUCUGUA